Long non-coding RNA from Pseudopipra pipra, 407 nucleotides. RefSeq lists it as uncharacterized. Lineage: Eukaryota; Metazoa; Chordata; Aves; Passeriformes; Pipridae. The record is from RefSeq and is a predicted model, not a curated record. The transcript has 3 exons.
CCUUUCCCCCUGCACUGGUGUCCCCAACUUGCCUGGGAGCCGCAAUCCCAAAGAGCCCCGCUCAGCCCGGGGGGCAGCCGGGGCUGGAGGGGGUGGGGACACCCGUGUCCCCCCCAGCCCCACAAGGCCAACCCCAACCAAGCCUUUGCUCUCCUCCUGCAGCCCGUUCAGGCCGGCGGCGUCCAAUGUGGGGAGGUAAGUCUGGGAGUUGGGGGGCACCCAGUGUGGGAAGUGGGGGGCACUUUGGGCCCCCCAUCCCUUCCUGGCACUGGGGACACCCCAGUGACCAGUGACGUCUCCUUGUCUCUCUACAGGCAGGCAUCAUCGGCGGCCCGCCAAUCUCGGGACAAGGAGGAGGUGGAUGUGUCGGGGGAGGCAUGGAUGUCCAUCGAGUGAAGAGGUCUGAG